Molecule: ribosomal RNA, 664 nt
Filed under: uncultured Dolichospermum sp.
Lineage: Bacteria; Bacillati; Cyanobacteriota; Cyanophyceae; Nostocales; Aphanizomenonaceae
Description: bacterial SSU rRNA
Rfam family: Bacterial small subunit ribosomal RNA
Source: RNAcentral
CGGACGGGUGAGUAACGCGUGAGAAUCUACCUUCAGGUUCGGGACAACCACUGGAAACGGUGGCUAAUACCGAAUGUGCCGAGAGGUGAAAGGCUUGCUGCCUGAAGAAGAGCUUGCGUCUGAUUAGCUAGUUGGUGUGGUAAAGGCGCACCAAGGCGACGAUCAGUAGCUGGUCUGAGAGGAUGAUCAGCCACACUGGGACUGAGACACGGCCCAGACUCCUACGGGAGGCAGCAGUGGGGAAUUUUCCGCAAUGGGCGAAAGCCUGACGGAGCAAUACCGCGUGAGGGAGGAAGGCUCUUGGGUCGUAAACCUCUUUUCUCAGGGAAGAAAAAAAUGACGGUACCUGAGGAAUAAGCAUCGGCUAACUCCGUGCCAGCAGCCGCGGUAAUACGGAGGAUGCAAGCGUUAUCCGGAAUGAUUGGGCGUAAAGGGUCCGCAGGUGGCAUUGUUUGUCUGCUGUUAAAGAGUCUGGCUCAACCAGAUCAAAGCAGUGGAAACUACAAAGCUAGAGUAUGGUCGGGGCAGAGGGAAUUCCUGGUGUAGCGGUGAAAUGCGUAGAUAUCAGGAAGAACACCGGUGGCGAAGGCGCUCUGCUAGGCCAAAACUGACACUGAGGGACGAAAGCUAGGGGAGCGAAUGGGAUUAGAUACCCCAGUAGUCC